This 442-nucleotide ribosomal RNA is filed under the name uncultured soil bacterium. RNAcentral's name for it is "bacterial SSU rRNA". It matches the Rfam family "Bacterial small subunit ribosomal RNA", at positions 950 to 1393 of the family's 1533-position model. The record is from RNAcentral.
CACGGGGGGAACGCGAAGAACCUUACCUGGGCUUGACAUGUCUCUGACCGGUGUGGAAACACAUCUUCCCUUCGGGGCAGAGUCACAGGUGGUGCAUGGCUGUCGUCAGCUCGUGUCGUGAGAUGUUGGGUUAAGUCCCGCAACGAGCGCAACCCCCGUUGUAUGUUGCCAGCAUUUAGUUGGGGACUCAUACAAGACUGCCGGUGACAAACCGGAGGAAGGUGGGGAUGACGUCAAGUCAUCAUGCCCCUUAUGUCCAGGGCUACACACGUGCUACAUUGGCCGGUACAAAGGGUUGCGAUACCGCGAGGUGGAGCGAAUCCCUCAAAGCGCGUCUCGGUUCGGAUUGCAGGCUGAAACUCGCCUGCAUGAAGGCGGAGUUGCUAGUAAUCGCGGAUCAGCAUUGCCGCGGUGAAUACGUUCCCGGGUCUUGUACACACGC